UCGGGAAUUUUGGGCAAUGGGCGAAAGCCUGACCCAGCAACGCCGCGUGAAGGAUGAAGUAUUUCGGUAUGUAAACUUCGAAAGAAUAGGAAGAAUAAAUGACGGUACUAUUUAUAAGGUCCGGCUAACUACGUGCCAGCAGCCGCGGUAAUACGUAGGGACCAAGCGUUGUUCGGAUUUACUGGGCGUAAAGGGCGCGUAGGCGGCAUGACAAGUCACUUGUGAAAUCUCUGGGCUUAACCCAGAACGGCCAAGUGAUACUGUCGCGCUAGAGUGCAGAAGGGGCAAUCGGAAUUCUUGGUGUAGCGGUGAAAUGCGUAGAUAUCAAGAGGAACACCAGUGGCGAAGGCGGCUACCUGGACAGGUACUGACGCUGAAGCGCGAAAGCUAGGGGAGCAAACAGGAUUAGAUACCCGAGUAGUCCCUGAGCGGGCUGGCAAGGCGCAU
Molecule: ribosomal RNA, 447 nt
Filed under: uncultured bacterium
Lineage: Bacteria
Description: bacterial SSU rRNA
Rfam family: Bacterial small subunit ribosomal RNA
Source: RNAcentral